This 73-nucleotide transfer RNA is filed under the name Homo sapiens (human). RNAcentral describes it as "tRNA-Arg (anticodon TCG) 6-1 (TRR-TCG6-1)". It matches the Rfam family "tRNA". Rfam says of the family: Transfer RNA (tRNA) molecules are approximately 80 nucleotides in length. Lineage: Eukaryota; Metazoa; Chordata; Mammalia; Primates; Hominidae. The record is from Rfam by way of RNAcentral.
GGCCGUGUGGCCUAAUGGAUAAGGCGUCUGACUUCGGAUCAAAAGAUUGCAGGUUUGAGUUCUGCCACGGUCG